Molecule: ribosomal RNA, 468 nt
Filed under: uncultured bacterium
Lineage: Bacteria
Description: partial 16S ribosomal RNA
Rfam family: Bacterial small subunit ribosomal RNA
Source: RNAcentral
GACGAACGCUGGCGGCGUGCUUAACACAUGCAAGUCGAACGGAAAGGCACUGCUUUUGUGGGGUGCUCGAGUGGCGAACGGGUGAGUAACACGUGAGUAACCUGCCCUUGACUUUGGGAUAACUUCAGGAAACUGGGGCUAAUACCGGAUAGGAGCUCCUGCUGCAUGGUGGGGGUUGGAAAGUUUCGGCGGUUGGGGAUGGACUCGCGGAUUAUCAGCUUGUUGGUGGGGUAGUGGCUUACCAAGGCUUUGACGGGUAGCCGGCCUGAGAGGGUGACCGGCCACCAUGGGACUGAGAGACGGCCCAGACUCCUACGGGAGGCAGCAGUGGGGAAUAUUGCACAAUGGGCGGAAGCCUGAUGCAGCAACGCCGCGUGCGGGAUGACGGCCUUCGGGUUGUAAACCGCUUUCGCCUGUUACGAAGCGUGAGUGACGGUAAUGGGUAAAGAAGCACCGGCUAACUACGUG